AUGCUCGCGGCCAGGCCCUGCUGAUCCUCUGGCGCUGACCACAGGGGAGGAGGCAGCUCUCGUCGGUGCGCAGGCGUUUCCAGAGGCAGCAGGGGGGAAGCGUUGUUGUCAAACAGAUUCAGGGAAUUUCAAAGUCCAGCUCAACUAACCCCUGGCACCAUCCAGCUACUUCCACUUAAACGUUUAACAUGCAAAUGUAGAGAGCCCAAAAUUCCGUGAGUGAGUGACAGGGCACAGGUAUUCCUGAUUUAUUAAAACUGAUGGAAGCGCCCCCCCCCCCCCCCACUGGGCAGGUUAGCAAGAGGACUUCUCCAAGGAGCACCUAGUAGGAUGUGGGGGGGACCAUCCGAAAGGGCUGUUCAGAUACUCUUAACCAGAAAGUUCUGUUUCCCCGUUUCUCCAGGUUGGACAUCCUCCCCAUGAAGAGAGAACCGCAGCAAGGGAGAGGAAGAGGAUGGUUCUCUGGGUUCCCAUGAAGUAGGAGCAUUUCCACUUUUUCUCCAGGUUCUCUGCAGAAGGCAGUGAGACACUCCAGAGAAUGUUUGUGGAAAGGGCGAAUGAGCACGGAAGCAGCUGGAGGGAGAGGACAGAGGGAAACCAAAAAGCCACUAGAGCAGGAAUUGUCCUAAACAACUUGUUCCUAGGACAUACCAAAGAGGGGAUGGAAAACAAGUUCUGAAAGUCCACAUGUCUGCAUUUGGGCAAAACAAUGGAAGAUUUUGAAUUUUCACUCUGUUAUGCAUUCUCAGCAUCAGAUGGCAGGAUGGAGAAACGGAGCAUGGGGCGAUGGGAGAGUUUCUUAGCCUCAGCACUAUGACAUUUUGAGCUGGAUAAUUCUCUGUCGUGGUGCAAAUCUGUGCGUUGUCAGACGUUUAGUGGCAUCCCUGGCCUCUACCCACUUGAUGUCAGUAGCCACUCUUUCUCAGUGGUGACAUGGGGGUAAGCUGACCCCUGGGAGUAGUUUGAGGAUCACAGGUCUCUACUAAAGUCACAGAUUUGGUUAUGGGGAAACCAAAAGCAAAAACAUUUUCCAGCUUUCAACUAGCGCAAGCAAACAUUGCCUUGGGAGUCAAAAGGAAUUAUUUAGAAGCUACCAGCAUUUCUCCUACGGCUUAUGGUCCCUGAGUUCCCCUAGCACCCUCUUUGAGAGGUCUAGGUACAGCUCUUGUCCACAAUACAUUCUGUUGAUGGGAUCAUAAAUGAGUACCAGGAUUUAGUUAGCAAUGCUGGAAUUUACUCUCUGCGUUUGGAUGGCUUUUUAAAGGGACCCAGCAUCUCCAAUCAUUUAUAUCCUGGGGCCAAUCACCCGUUUUUAGGACUCAUAAAGGCAUCACAGCGGGGCUUCUAUCAGUGCAACGAGGAGCCACGACAUGCUUGAAGGGUGUAAGUUUGUGUGCCGCAGGCCACGGGCUUCUGCCCUAAUGAGCUGUAAGGCCCACUGCUCACAGUGUCGCCUGCAGCCGUGAGUAGUGAAGCUCGGUCAUUCUUGUAGGAAUUAGGCUUUCCCUGUGGUAAAAAAAACUGUGUCAAAAGGGAUCUUAGGUCAGGAACAAGGGACUCGAUAUUCACAUCAGAGUUUGAACUGGCUUUGCUCAUGAGCUCUGCUCCAGCCUUGAUUAUGUUAGACACUCACUAUUGGCUGCAUGGCUUUCUUUUUGAAGACCUGAAUAAAUGAAAGAUACCAAUGGUAACUUAUAUGUAUUUUCUGCGUCAACGAUCUAAAGAGAGAAUGUUUUAGCUUUAGGAUUAACCAUCCUGCGUCCAAAUGCUAGGUGUCCUCCUUCCUCCCCCCGUGUAGCAUUAGAUUUGCUAGUUAGCCUCUCUGUGCCUCGGUUUCCCAAACUUUAGACUAGGGGUGAGUAGUUCCAUAAGUCUGUUGUGAAGCUUGAGUGUGUUCUACACAUAACACACCGAGUUCCCAGCCCGUUAACACUCGUUAUUGUUUCUCUCAGAGGUUUCUAUUUUUGAUCUCAGCAGUCCUCACAAAUGUCCCCAUGAGAGAGGCCUAGAAGGUAUGUGUAAGCAGCCUACAGUGACGAGCCAAUAGCGACAAAGUGGUUCUAACCCACGUCUUCCAUUAUUCAGAGACAGAUCCAGUUAGCAUCUCAGUCAGAAAGACAAGGGGGAGGAGCCCUGACCUAGGAAUCUCACCACAUAUUAUUGAUCUGUUAGUCACAAUAAAUAAAGUCCUGUAUAAAAUAUGAGGACAAAGUGAAAUCUCAUUGGUAAUAUUGGAAGGCUAGAUGUAUAGGCAGAUAAUGCCACUCAGAAGCAAGUAGUACAUGAGUCAAUCAAAAAGUUGACAUUUUGGGGCAGCCCGGGUAGCUCAGUGGUUUGGUGCCGCCUUCAGCCCAGGGCGUGAUCCUGGAGGCCCCGGGAUAGAGCCCCACGUCGGGCUCCUUGCAUGGAGCCUGCUUCUCCCUCUGCCUGUGUCUCUGCCUCUCUUUCUCUCUCUCUCGCUCUGUCUCAUGAAUAAAUAAAUAAAAUAUAUAUAUUUUUAAAGUUGACAUUUUAAAAUAGAAACGGGUUUGAUUCGGUUGGACGUUUACUGCGGUCCUGUUCUGGCAGGCAUCGAUGCCAUGUGACGAGGUACCUGGCCUCCAGAAACCAAGACUUUAACAGAGGAUGUUAAACAUGCGUGCAGAACUCAGAGGCAGAAUGAGGCAAGUUUGUGGUCCAGGGACAAGGUCU
Molecule: long non-coding RNA, 2691 nt
Filed under: Canis lupus familiaris (dog)
Lineage: Eukaryota; Metazoa; Chordata; Mammalia; Carnivora; Canidae
Description: lncRNA (ENSCAFG00000051509.1)
Source: RNAcentral